AAUAUUGCACAAUGGGCGCAAGCCUGAUGCAGCCAUGCCGCGUGUGUGAAGAAGGCCUUCGGGUUGUAAAGCACUUUCAGUCGUGAGGAAGGUAGUGUAGUUAAUAGCUGCAUUAUUUGACGUUAGCGACAGAAGAAGCACCGGCUAACUCCGUGCCAGCAGCCGCGGUAAUACGGAGGGUGCGAGCGUUAAUCGGAAUUACUGGGCGUAAAGCGCAUGCAGGUGGUUUGUUAAGUCAGAUGUGAAAGCCCGGGGCUCAACCUCGGAAUUGCAUUUGAAACUGGCAGACUAGAGUACUGUAGAGGGGGGUAGAAUUUCAGGUGUAGCGGUGAAAUGCGUAGAGAUCUGAAGGAAUACCGGUGGCGAAGGCGGCCCCCUGGACAGAUACUGACACUCAGAUGCGAAAGCGUGGGGAGCAAACAGGAUUAGAUACCCUGGUAGUCCACGCCGUAAACGAUGUCUACUUGGAGGUUGUGGCCUUGAGCCGUGGCUUUCGGAGCUAACGCGUUAAGUAGACCGCCUGGGGAGUACGGUCGCAAGAUUAAAACUCAAAUGAAUUGACGGGGGCCCGCACAAGCGGUGGAGCAUGUGGUUUAAUUCGAUGCAACGCGAAGAACCUUACCUACUCUUGACAUCCAGAGAACUUUCCAGAGAUGGAUUGGUGCCUUCGGGAACUCUGAGACAGGUGCUGCAUGGCUGUCGUCAGCUCGUGUUGUGAAAUGUUGGGUUAAGUCCCGCAACGAGCGCAACCCUUAUCCUUGUUUGCCAGCGAGUAAUGUCGGGAACUCCAGGGAGACUGCCGGUGAUAAACCGGAGGAAGGUGGGGACGACGUCAAGUCAUCAUGGCCCUUACGAGUAGGGCUACACACGUGCUACAAUGGCGCAUACAGAGGGCAGCCAACUUGCGAAAGUGAGCGAAUCCCAAAAAGUGCGUCGUAGUCCGGAUUGGAGUCUGCAACUCGACUCCAUGAAGUCGGAAUCGCUAGUAAUCGUGGAUCAGAAUGCCACGGUGAAUACGUUCCCGGGCCUUGUACACACCGCCCGUCACACCAUGGGAGUGGGCUGCAAAAGAAGUAGGUAGUUUAACCUUCGGGGGGACGCUUACCACUUUGUGGUUCAUGACUGGGGUGAAGUCGUAACAAGGUAGCGCUAGGGGAACCUGGCGCUGGAUCACCUCCUUAAACGAUGAU
Molecule: ribosomal RNA, 1190 nt
Filed under: Vibrio parahaemolyticus O1:K56
Lineage: Bacteria; Pseudomonadati; Pseudomonadota; Gammaproteobacteria; Vibrionales; Vibrionaceae
Description: bacterial SSU rRNA
Rfam family: Bacterial small subunit ribosomal RNA
Source: RNAcentral